AAACCGACACAGGUGGGUGAGGAGAGUAUCCUAAGGCCAGCGAGAGAACUGUUGUUAAGGAACUCGGCAAAAUGACCCCGUAACUUAGGGAUAAGGGGUGCCACCAUCAGGUGGCCGCAGAGAAUAGGCCCAAGCGACUGUUUACCAAAAACAUAGGUUUCUUCUAAGUCGCAAGACGAUGUAUAGGAGCUGACGCCUGCCCGGUGCUGGAAGGUGAAGGGGAUCUGUUAGAGCAAUCGAAGCAGUGAACUUAAGCCCCAGUAAACGGCGGCCGUAACUAUAACGGUCCUAAGGUAGCGAAAUUCCUUGUCGGGUAAGUUCCGACCCGCACGAAAGGCGUAACGAUUUGGGCACUGUCUCAACAACAGACUCGGUGAAAUUGUAAUUCCGGUGAAGAUGCCGGAUACCUGCGACAGGACGGAAAGACCCCAUGGAGCUUUACUGUAGCUUGACAUUGGGUCUUGGUACUACAUGUACAGGAUAGGUGGGAGGCUUUGAAACCAGGACGCCAGUUUUGGCGGAGCCAUCCUUGGGAUACCACCCUUGUAGUACUGGGACUCUAACCAUAGGCCAUGAAUCUGGUCUUGGGACACUGUCAGGUGGGCAGUUUGACUGGGGCGGUCGCCUCCCAAAAGGUAACGGAGGCGCUCAAAGGUUCUCUCAGUACGGUCGGAAAUCGUACGUAGAGUGUAAAGGCAAAAGAGAGCUUGAUUGCAAGACAUACAGGUCGAGCAAGGAUGAAAAUCGGACUUAGUGAUCCGGUGGUUCUGCGUGGAAGGGCCAUCGCUCAACGGAUAAAAGCUACCCUGGGGAUAACAGGCUUAUCUCCCCCAAGAGUCCACAUCGACGGGGAGGUUUGGCACCUCGAUGUCGGCUCAUCACAUCCUGGGGCUGUAGUAGGUCCCAAGGGUUGGGCUGUUCGCCCAUUAAAGUGGUACGCGAGCUGGGUUCAGAACGUCGUGAGACAGUUCGGUCCCUAUCCGUCGCAGGCGUAGGAAAUUUGAGAAGACCUGUCCUUAGUACGAGAGGACCGGGAUGGACGUACCUCUGGUGUACCAGUUGU
Molecule: ribosomal RNA, 1063 nt
Filed under: Clostridioides difficile
Lineage: Bacteria; Bacillati; Bacillota; Clostridia; Peptostreptococcales; Peptostreptococcaceae
Description: bacterial LSU rRNA
Rfam family: Bacterial large subunit ribosomal RNA
Source: RNAcentral